GUUCCCACACAUAAUUUUGAAGUUUGGAAAACUGCUUUGAAUAACAAGCUAGCAACGGCCAUCAUGUGUAUGAAACUUCGACAACGUUUGAGUUGGAAAUUGUAUUCGCUUCUUGAGGUAUAUAAAUGUACGGAAUUAGGAGGAGCGUCGAUGAUUUAGCGGAAGAAGUUUAGUUCCCAGUACAAUUACGACGAAGAACCGGAGCGGGCGAACCAGUCAGCGAAGGGGCAUUUUGGAUCAGUUCCGUGGCUAGCAACUGGCUGGAUAAUCGUGCGCUGCCGUCUGAAAACAAUUUUUUACCCCAACAAAAGAACCGCAACCUGGACAAGAAGCACGGCGUCGGAGAAGUUAAACCCGCUCGAGAUGAUUGCCAGCGGCAGCAGAAGGAUUCGGACGAUGAGAAGCUUCCAAACCUCUUGGACAAAAUCGUGCCCCAAAGCAUCCCGACCAAAGAUUGUGACCGAGACCGCGACAGUUCCAGCAACAUUCACGAAUCGUCCCACAAUAGGGGGAACCAAAUAUGCCAUUUUCAAUUGCAGCAAUAGUGCUUCCGCCCCCCUGCCGAAAAUUUCGCCACAACUGGACCUCUUCCGUCAAAUUUCCGAAAAAGAAUUAUUAUGCUUUAUAAUCGGGCUUAAAAAUGAAAUACUUAUGUAAUAAAAUUAAUACAACAGUAAAAAAAUAAAUGAUAACAAAAGCGAAUAUUUAAUAUAAUUAAUAACAAUAUUAAAUAUUAUAAAUUCGAAACAUAAUUUUAAAGUGAUCCGAGCGCAUAAAAAUGAUAUGGAUUACGUAAAUAUAUAUCAUAAGGAUCACACAUAAAUAUUAUGGAUGUGAGUAAUAAAUGUCAUUUGGCUCUCAAUAUGGA
Aedes albopictus (Asian tiger mosquito) is the source of this 868-nucleotide long non-coding RNA. RefSeq lists it as uncharacterized. The record is from RefSeq and is a predicted model, not a curated record. The transcript is spliced from 2 exons. Lineage: Eukaryota; Metazoa; Arthropoda; Insecta; Diptera; Culicidae.